Molecule: ribosomal RNA, 216 nt
Filed under: Salmonella enterica subsp. enterica serovar Lubbock
Lineage: Bacteria; Pseudomonadati; Pseudomonadota; Gammaproteobacteria; Enterobacterales; Enterobacteriaceae
Description: partial 23S ribosomal RNA
Rfam family: Bacterial large subunit ribosomal RNA
Source: RNAcentral
GCCAGAUAGUCAAACAGCCCCAGCGUCACGCCAAGGAAGGAACUGGCGACCGCAAAGUUAGAGAACACCACCAGCAGCAGAUCCAGGCUGCGCCGGUAAGGUGAUAUGAACCGUUAUAACCGGCGAUACCCGAAUGGGGAAACCCAGUGUGACUCGUCACACUAUCAUUAACUGAAUCCAUAGGUUAAUGAGGCGAACCGGGGGAACUGAAACAUC